Mesocricetus auratus (golden hamster) is the source of this 2433-nucleotide long non-coding RNA. RefSeq lists it as uncharacterized. The record is from RefSeq and is a predicted model, not a curated record. The transcript is spliced from 5 exons. Lineage: Eukaryota; Metazoa; Chordata; Mammalia; Rodentia; Cricetidae.
CCGCGUUGAUAAUGGACUGAACCUCUGAAACUAAGCUAACUCCCUCAAUUAAACGUUUCCUUAUACGAGUUGCCAUGUCCACGGUCUCUCCUCACAGCAAUAACAACUCUAACUAAGACAAUGGGAAAGGACAUCUCUGUGCAGUGAGGUAAGGCUUAUAUAACCCAAGCCUAUCAAUCAAAAGCAGAAGAUCACUUAUAGCCUGCCCCUGGCAACCAACUAUUCUCUCUCCUGGACUCACAAAAGGAAUACCCAGGCAGUGACCAGACCCUCUUAAAUAGCAAGCCUGCUCAGACCCCACUCUCUUGCAGCAUAUUUGACCUAUACUUAAGCUUUGCUCCCAAACCAAAUCCCUGCGGCUUUACUUAAUUUAUCUGAUUCUUUAACUCUUUGAACAACAUCUCUGGAAACAAUUACUCAGACAGAGACCACCGGUAACAGAACUGUUCUAUUUUCUUUGAGAAUAAUCUUUCUCAAGAAUGUGUCUACCUUUCUACCUAUCUGGUUUGGAAUGCCAUAACAAGGUGUUUUAACUAAUGGAGAUUAAUUUUCUGAUAGUAGUAGAGGCUGACUAAGAUCAGGGUGCAGCAUGGCCAGGUUCUGUGGAGGGUUCUGUUCCUGUCUUACAGUAAGCAGAUGUCUUAUUGUGUGUGCCUAGAGAGAAAGUCCCAUCUUUGGUUUGUUUCUUUUUACAGUUAUAAUGUCACUCCAAGGGGCUGUUACUAUGACUACAUCUGUGCCUAUUACAAUGCUGUCACUUCAGAUAUCAUCACAAUAGGGGUUAUGAUUUCAAUGAAUGAACUGGGUAGCCGGGUGGGGUGGUGGUGGAAUGACACAGUUUGGUCCUUCCACAGUGCUACCCAGCUGCAUUAUUUUGUCAAAGUAAGGGUGAGACUGAACCACUGUCUUCAGAAAAAUGGAUCCUUGAAGAGUAUCAGUUCAGUCCACAAUGGAACAAGUACCAGUUGUCUGAGAGUCUUGGCAGCAUGAGUGUCCUUCAUCCUCACCCAUACCCACUCUGGUGCCUGCACUUACUCACCCUGAUGCAUCCACCUUAGUCUUGUAGAGAGAUCCGUCACAAGAGAGUGUUUACAGCAAUGGCUCUUUAAACCCAAGAAGCAAUUCUCUUUCCUUUAAAAUAUCUAUAUCCAGACUGUAGUGAAAGCUGCUAGACAGGUCUCAGCAAUUCCAUGCCGCUGUGGCAGACCAGAUGGGUGCAGAAGUCUUCAAGGAGUGUGUAGAACUCGGAACAGAUUGUCUUCUUAGGUCACACAGGCUGACACUCUACGGACACGUACCAUCGAAAUAAACCGGGGCUACUGUGUGUUUCCCAGAGGCCGGCUUGUCCCUGCCCCUCUUCCUUUCCCACUCAGGAAACCAUGUCAGCAGGGUUGCAGACAACAUAAACUAACUCUGGCCAGAAUUUGCUGGAUGAACAGUCAGAUCCUGAAAUUUAGGAGUUGAAGCAGCAAGCAGUUGGAUGACACAAGCAGUGGACCUCUGGGGCCUCGGAAGCAGAUAUUUAUGGAUCUUUCCUCUGUAAUGUUGAUGCCUUUAUUUCUCGUCUUUAGUGAUCUGUCAUUGGUUACCAGGAAGACAGGGCUGUGUCUCAAACAUGGACACUGCUAUCACGUCUCUGAUUCAGGAGCACUUCGCUAGGCAAAGGGAAUACUGGGAGACUAAUGUAUUUUAAAGGGUUUCUUUUUUGUAUAUUUUUUGAAAUGUUUUUGUACUAUGGAAAAAGUAAUUUUAGAGUCAACAAAUGUUAUUAAUGUAGAUAUCAGCUUACCAUAAAAGAGAGACAUAGGAAAUAUUUAUGUGAUGGGCUGGAGGUGUAGCUCAGUGGUGGAACGCUUAGCUAGCAUGCAUGAGGCCCUGGGUUCAAUCCCAAGAAAACCUCCUCCCCUACAAAAAAGCAGAAAAUCGUUACAGGAUGGAAUUUCAGAAUGUCACUGAAAGGUUUUAAAGGUUUUGUUGAGGCGUGAUUGACAUAUAACGAAGUCCACAUAUUUGAAAUCAUGGUUUGGUAUAUUUUGGUACUGAUGAUGCACAUCUGAAAAACUUCCACAAUGAUGAAGACAAUGAAUGAAUGUCUUGCAUCCUUGGAUGUCUCCUUGUGCCUUUGUGUCCCUUCCCUCAACCCCUGCCAUCCCUAAGCACCCACUGCCUAUGUCCGUUAGAUUGACUUGCAUUUUAUAGUGUUUCAUAUAAAUGCGAUCAUACAGUUCAUUUCUUCUUUUUGACUCAGUAUGACUGCUGUGAGACUCAUCCAUGUCGCAGUAGAUAGCAGUGCUUUGUUUCUUUACAUGAGUGACUAAUGCUGAAUAGAUUAUAUAGAUUAUACUAAUGCUGAAUAGAUUAUAUAAACUAUUAGUUAGCAAGCAUUUUACUUAUUUCGGUUUGGGCAUAUUACCAAUAAAAAUGUUAUAAGAA